Dermacentor albipictus is the source of this 522-nucleotide long non-coding RNA. RefSeq lists it as uncharacterized. Lineage: Eukaryota; Metazoa; Arthropoda; Arachnida; Ixodida; Ixodidae. The record is from RefSeq and is a predicted model, not a curated record.
GUGAGCUGGGUCACGUUGUUUUGCUGUGAGCGGUGAGAGUGUUCGUUACACAGUAAUUUAAUCAUAUUUUCGAAGUGCCUAAACAAACUGUGAUCCGUACCGUGUGCAUUAACCAUCAGGAAACCUCUGGACUCGUGUAACGCCAUUAGUUCGCCUUAUGUUUCGUGUGAUACGCCAGUGUCUUGCGUACUACAGCGCCCGUCCGAGCGGCCUUUGUUCUCGCCUGUCCGCGUUCGCUCGUGGAAUACCUGAUACUGUGGCUUCGAAUUAUGGUGCGUGAAAGAAUUUGUUGACAGUUGUGCUUUCGUGCGCUGGUGUUCAUCGGCGAUUCAACAGUGUUCGCGCUGGAAAGAGUGUCGUCGCGUGGUGCCUGCGAGACGAAGAAGCCGUUUGCUGACCACAUUGAAGGUGCCUUGUGAGCUCUCACCCAAGCAACACAUUCCAGAGGUCUGCUGUGAGCAGACGUGGCAAACUGAAGUAACAUUCAGAUAGUCCAAUAAACUGUUCGUAGUUUCAGACAAA